This 204-nucleotide long non-coding RNA is filed under the name Nicotiana benthamiana. Its description in RNAcentral is "long non-coding RNA (NBEN_LNC032961)". Lineage: Eukaryota; Viridiplantae; Streptophyta; Magnoliopsida; Solanales; Solanaceae. The record is from RNAcentral.
AGUAUAAUCUCACUUAGUAAAGUCUGGGGAGGGUAGUAUGUACGCAGACCUUACCCCUACCCUUGAGUAGAGAGACUGUUUCCAAAUAUACCCCAGCAUCCUUCCCUCCAAGAACUUCCCACCUUGCUCUUGGGGAGACUCGAACUCACAACCUCUCGAUUGAAAGUGGGGGUUGCUUACCAUCAGAGCAACCCCUCUUGUCUU